CACGUAGUUGGCCGGUGCUUCUUCUGCAGGUACCGUCACUUGCGCUUCGUCCCUGCUGAAAGAGGUUUACAACCCGAAGGCCGUCAUCCCUCACGCGGCGUUGCUGGAUCAGGCUUUCGCCCAUUGUCCAAUAUUCCCCACUGCUGCCUCCCGUAGGAGUCUGGGCCGUGUCUCAGUCCCAGUGUGGCCGGUCACCCUCUCAGGCCGGCUACCCGUCGUUGCCUUGGUAGGCCAUUACCCCACCAACAAGCUGAUAGGCCGCGAGCUCAUCCUCCACCGCCGGAACUUUCCACCACCAUCAGAUGCCUGAAGUGGUCGUAUCGGGUAUUAGCCACCGUUUCCGGUGGUUAUCCCCGUGUGAAGGGCAGAUUGCUCACGUGUUACUCACCCGUUCGCCGCUCGUGUACCCCCGAAGGGGCCUUACCGCUCGACUUGCAUGUGUUAAGCACGCCGCCAGCGUUCGUCCUGAGCCAGGAUCGAAACUCU
This 486-nucleotide ribosomal RNA is filed under the name uncultured Marmoricola sp. RNAcentral's name for it is "partial 16S ribosomal RNA". Lineage: Bacteria; Bacillati; Actinomycetota; Actinomycetes; Propionibacteriales; Nocardioidaceae. The record is from RNAcentral.